This is a non-coding RNA of Biscogniauxia marginata, 93 nucleotides long. The record is from the annotation of a GenBank genome assembly. Lineage: Eukaryota; Fungi; Ascomycota; Sordariomycetes; Xylariales; Xylariaceae.
GGCACGAUGGCGGAGUGGUUAACGCGGUGCCCUGCUAUUUAAUAGUGUAAGGCAUUUCCUUCGGGAGCGCAGGUUCGAAUCCUGCUCGUGUCG